UUGACUCUUAAGAUACAAAGCAUUCACAUUUAGUAAGCUGCAAGCAGAGAAUUUUUACUAUUUUCAUUAAAAUAAAUACUCAAACCGAAUAAUCGAUUACCGAAAUACUUGGUCAUUAAUUUAAUAGUUAACUAACU
Molecule: long non-coding RNA, 137 nt
Organism: Etheostoma spectabile (orangethroat darter)
Lineage: Eukaryota; Metazoa; Chordata; Actinopteri; Perciformes; Percidae
Exons: 3
Source: RefSeq, a predicted model, not a curated record